GGCCUAACACAUGCAAGUCGAGCGGAAACGACACUAACAAUCCUUCGGGUGCGUUAAUGGGCGUCGAGCGGCGGACGGGUGAGUAAUGCCUAGGAAAUUGCCUUGAUGUGGGGGAUAACCAUUGGAAACGAUGGCUAAUACCGCAUAAUGCCUACGGGCCAAAGAGGGGGAUCUUCGGACCUCUCGCGUCAAGAUAUGCCUAGGUGGGAUUAGCUAGUUGGUGAGGUAAUGGCUCACCAAGGCGACGAUCCCUAGCUGGUCUGAGAGGAUGAUCAGCCACACUGGAACUGAGACACGGUCCAGACUCCUACGGGAGGCAGCAGUGGGGAAUAUUGCACAAUGGGCGAAAGCCUGAUGCAGCCAUGCCGCGUGUAUGAAGAAGGCCUUCGGGUUGUAAAGUACUUUCAGUUGUGAGGAAGGGUGGUGUAGUUUAAUAGCUG
RNAcentral lists this ribosomal RNA (440 nucleotides) under uncultured Vibrio sp. RNAcentral describes it as "bacterial SSU rRNA". It matches the Rfam family "Bacterial small subunit ribosomal RNA", at positions 45 to 471 of the family's 1533-position model. The record is from RNAcentral. Lineage: Bacteria; Pseudomonadati; Pseudomonadota; Gammaproteobacteria; Vibrionales; Vibrionaceae.